RNAcentral lists this non-coding RNA (169 nucleotides) under Glossina brevipalpis. RNAcentral's name for it is "eukaryotic small subunit ribosomal RNA". It matches the Rfam family "Eukaryotic small subunit ribosomal RNA", at positions 1667 to 1823 of the family's 1831-position model. The record is from RNAcentral. Lineage: Eukaryota; Metazoa; Arthropoda; Insecta; Diptera; Glossinidae.
CAUGGCCUGUCGUUACUACCGAGAUAGAUUUAUUUAGUGAGUGAGGUCUCCGGACGUGAUCACUGUACCACGUAUGUGUUACGGAUGUAUCGCAAAAGUUGUCCAAACUUGAUUAUUUAGAGAAAGUAGAAAAGUCAUAACAAGAUUUCCAUAGGUGAACCUGCGGAAU